Molecule: ribosomal RNA, 253 nt
Filed under: uncultured bacterium
Lineage: Bacteria
Description: partial 16S ribosomal RNA
Rfam family: Bacterial small subunit ribosomal RNA
Source: RNAcentral
UACGUAGGGGGCUAGCGUUGCUCGGAAUCACUGGGCGUAAAGCGCACGUAGGCGGUCUUUUAAGUCAGGGGUGAAAUCCUGGAGCUCAACUCCAGAACUGCCUUUGAUACUGGGAGACUUGGGUCCGGGAGAGGUGAGUGGAACUGCGAGUGUAGAGGUGAAAUUCGUAGAUAUUCGCAAGAACACCAGUGGCGAAGGCGGCUCACUGGCCCGGUACUGACGCUGAGGUGCGAAAGCUAGGGGAGCAAACGGG